GAUGAACGCUAGCGGGAGGCUUAACACAUGCAAGUCGAGGGGCAGCAUACCCGGUGACGGGUGAUGGCGACCGGCGGAAGGGUGAGUAACGCGUGAGCAACAUACCCGUAUCAGUGGGAUAAUACAGGGAAACUUGUUCUAAUAUCACAUAAUAUUAUUCAGAGGCAUCUUUGGAUAAUUAAAGUUCAGGCGGAUACGGAAUGGCUCGCGUGACAUUAGCUAGAUGGUAGGGUAAAGGCCUACCAUGGCUAUGAUGUCUAGGGGUUCUGAGAGGGAGGUCCCCCACACUGGAACUGAGACACGGUCCAGACUCCUACGGGAGGCAGCAGUGAGGAAUAUUGGUAAUGCGCGAAAGCGUGAACCAGCAACGCCGCGUGUGCGAUGAAGGCCUUCGGGUUGUAAAGCACUUUUCGGGAGAAGAGGAAGGACUGUACUCCAGAAUAAGCCUCGGCUAACUACGUGCCAGCAGCCGCGGUAAUAGU
RNAcentral lists this ribosomal RNA (482 nucleotides) under uncultured bacterium. Its description in RNAcentral is "bacterial SSU rRNA". It matches the Rfam family "Bacterial small subunit ribosomal RNA", at positions 28 to 528 of the family's 1533-position model. The record is from RNAcentral.